RNAcentral lists this transfer RNA (72 nucleotides) under Dipodomys ordii (Ord's kangaroo rat). It matches the Rfam family "tRNA". Rfam says of the family: Transfer RNA (tRNA) molecules are approximately 80 nucleotides in length. Their secondary structure includes four short double-helical elements and three loops (D, anti-codon, and T loops). Lineage: Eukaryota; Metazoa; Chordata; Mammalia; Rodentia; Heteromyidae. The record is from Rfam by way of RNAcentral.
GUGAGUGUGGCUUAGUGGUAGAGUACUUGCCUAGCACGCAUGAAGCCCUGGGUUCAAUUCCUCAGCACCAUA